GACGAACGCUGGCGGCGUGCUUAACACAUGCAAGUCGAACGAAGUGGCGAACGGGUGAGUAACGCGUAAUCAACCUGCCCUUCAGAGGGGGAUAACAGUUGGAAACGACUGCUAAUACCGCAUACUGAAGGAGGGGAUUGCGUCGGAUUAGCUAGUUGGAGGGGUAACGGCCCACCAAGGCGAUGAUCAGUAGGCGGUCUGGGGAGAUGGACGGGCACAUCGGGAAUGAGACACGGCCCAGACGUCUAAGGGAAGCAGCAGUUGGGAAUCAUCCGCAAUGGAGGGAAGUCUGAAGGAGCAAAGGCGCGGGAGUGAUGGAGGCCUUCGGGUUGGAAAGCUCUGUUAAUCGGGACGCGGUACCGGAAGAGAAAGCCACGGCUAACUACGUGCCAGCAGCCGCGGUAAUUC
Molecule: ribosomal RNA, 408 nt
Filed under: uncultured bacterium
Lineage: Bacteria
Description: partial 16S ribosomal RNA
Rfam family: Bacterial small subunit ribosomal RNA
Source: RNAcentral